GGAAAAUUUUAACAUGAAGCAGUUAUGUCAACUGAACCAAAGUUAGGCCAAUGCAGGAAUGCUCGGAAAGUUCCUGAAUGAGAUAGGUAGGAUGAAAGAAUGCUUGUUAAGUUGCAAGGAGUGAAUUAAGGAGGAGACCUGCAUUCCUGCAUUAUCUUACCAGAUAUUCUGAGAAUGAGAAGGAGACACACUGUCUCCACUCCCUGUUUCUGUUUCAUGUAUGUUCUUAACUCCUCGUCUCCUGUUUGACAACUGGAUUGAUAAGAAAGUUGGGGAGGCAUAACGACUUCAAAAAGCUAUAUACAAUAGGGGAUAGGUAUGCAUGCAUGAUAAAGAACUUUUAACUAACAAAGGGGAGGGGGGUUUGGGCUAUUUCGUGAAUAAUCUGUGACACGACGGACCUGUCUAUAAAAACCUAUUAGUUUUACCUAAGAGGUAGCUGGUUCUCUUUGGAGACGGGCUGCUCUCUAUUGUUGUGUGCACUCUUCAAUAAAGAGCUUAUACUUGGACUUUGCUGGUGUUGCCUGUCUCUCUGCAGUCAGACAACGAAUCGUGCCGUCUGGGGUUCGAGUCCCCAACAAAUUGGCUACUCCGCCGGGACCCGUCUGACUCUCCAGCGUAGGAUCAGACUCUAAAAGCAACGCAGAGCGCAUCCUCCGGCUUUGAGGAGCCUUGCCGAUGAUCUGAUUCCUGCAUCGGCAAUAAGGCGUGUUCUGCGAACCAGCUGAAGCCCGUAGAAAUCCAGCAACGUCCACCUACCUGUUGAGUAGGCUCCAGAUCCAGGUCUUUUGGGUUCGAGUCCCUGGAGAGCAUUCUAUGCCGCAUCUUCAGGAUAACCCCGAAGCGGUAGAGAGAAUGUUCCAAACUAUUUUCUCUAUCCACUUACCGACAUGGGCAGAUGUAAAUCAACUGAUGGACACCUUCCUAACCGAGGAUGAACGUCAAAAAGUCAAAGAAAAAGCUGCAGCAUUUCACCAAACUCGGCAAGCUUGGGGAGCUAUGCCCACCGCUGAGCCUAAUUGGGAUCCAAACCCAGCUGGGGGAAGAGAAGGAUUGAGUCAAUACCGACAAGCUAUUUUGCAUGGGCUAAGGGCAGCGGGGAAGGCUACCCCGAAUUGGAGUAAGGUUACGGUAUGCGUACAACUCCCUAAUGAACACCCCUCCGAUUUUUGUACCCGAUUAACCAACAAGGUGAGGAAACAUAGCAACCUAGAUUUAGAAUCAGACUCUGAAAAGGAAAUGAUCAAGAUAGUGUUUAUGGCACAGUGUGCAAAGGACAUUGCAAAAAGGUUUAGGGAACACCCGAAUGGAAUGCAAGGAAAAAGCCUACCUAAAGUAAUUAGUAUCGCAACCCGAAUCUAUAAUGGGAGGGAAGAAAAGAGGAAAAAGGAGAAAAGGAAGGAAAAACUAAAAGAGAUGAAGGAUCAAGUGUCGCUGUUGGCAGUGGCCAUGUCGGGAGGCAGAGAAAGGGGCCGCAGGUGGAAUCACAGUUCCCAGGGAGGACUCACUGGAAGGGAAAGGGGUGGAUUCAUUCGAGGACAAGCGGGGUGCGGAGGUGGUAUGGAUACGGAAUGUGAUGGAUGCCAUUACUGUGAUGAGGAAGGACACUGGAAACAAGAAUGUCCCCAUAGGCAAAAGGCUGACUGUAGGCCUGAGAUAGUAGGUCAAUUCUUUGUAGACCAUAAAUGAAGGGAGGCGCCGCUCCCCUGGGGCCCUGAGGUUUAUGAGGCCAGAAUGAUACAAUUUAAAUGUGAUGCUCUAUUUCCAGUGGUCCCCCUAAAAAUAGGACAAGAAACUUAUGAAUUAUUGAUGGACACGGAGGCCACACAUUCGGCUAUACCUGAGGGGGCGACACCAAAGAGUGAAGUGGAAAAAUAUGUAGUGGGAGUCACUGGAAAACCUGAACGACAUUAUAUGACCAAAAAUUGUAUGGCCACUCUAGGUCCCUUUUCUGUUCAGCACUCCUUCUUAUUAAUGAAUGGUCUGGUGAACCUACUGGGAAGGGACUUGUUAUGUAAAUUGCAUGCCCAAAUAUCCUGUACUCCUAAAAGCAUUUCCCUUCGUUUCCCAAUGGAAAAAGUUUAUCUGCUAACACAUUUAUACGCCUUGCCCAUGAAAUGAAAGCUCGUAUGCCAGCCCUACAAAAUACUUCAUGCUGGGUGUGCUCAUUAAUGCCAGCCAAUAGCCAAAAGGGUCUUCCCAUGGUCCCUAUUCCCCUUAGUGCAAUGAAUAUGACCUGGACCCCUUCCUGAAAGGAUUCCUCAGGCAAUUUAAAUAUUACCUGGGCUGAUACCGGCAUCUCUAAAAGCAAGUAUCUAAUAGUUUGGAAACAAGUUGGUCAAUGGUGCUUCUUAAAAGAAGGGAAAAUAGCAUUAGGUAAUAGUGAGUGCAAAGCUUACUUUAAUGGCACUCAUUUUGGGAGUAAGAGAGGUCCUAAUAUCCCUCUCCUGGAUGGGGCAACUUCUAGUACCUCUGCAUGGCACAGUUUCACAGGUAACAAGUGCAGCUUACAUGGGGAAGAACAUUUCCUGUAUCAAGGUCACAAAUUGGUGGAACACUACGUUAUAUAUUGCACGCUUGAGUAUAACCUGACAACUCAUACUAUGUGCUUAUGUUCUUCCAAUGCCUCUGUGACUAAAUUCUCCCUCUUCCCAUCUUGGACAGGAUGGUACAGACGUAUUAAUAAUACCUGGUCUAAAGUCACUCUUACUCUCUUUGAAGUAUACUGGGUGUGUGGUAACAAGGCAUACCUAGCCCUCCCUCCUUCAUGGAGUGGCUCUUGCUAUUUGGCUUGGUUACAACCACCUGUAGUAUAUCGCGCACGACUUCCUAAAGGGAAAAUCAGAAAUGUGAGAGGGGCUGAGGAAGACAUUAAUGACUCUCAUCCCCUUACUUGGCGUGCCCUAAACGAUUGGACAGGUGCUUGUGCGGGAUUCGUCGUCGCCUGUGGAGCUGCCACUUGGCGCAUUGGAGAAGGAGUCAUAAGACUUCAGGGAGUGUUGGAGGUAAUGGCACAUACUACUGCUGAGGCCUUGAUAGAUUUAGCAACUGAGCAAAAAAAACUAAGGCAGAUGGUUCUCCAGAACCGCUUGACGUUAGAUAUUUUGCUGGCCUCUCAGGGAGGAACAUGUGCGUUAAUCGGGCAGGAAUGCUGUGUAUAUGUUCCAGAUGUUUAUAACGCCACCUGGAAAAGAGCAAACCACCUUAUACAAGUUGCAAAAGACCAUGGAGGAGAGCGGGUUGACUCGUAGUGAAGCAAUUUUUCAACUGAAUUCCAGAUAUAGGUGGCUGGCUACAUAACCUGCUUCUCAGUGCUGUGGUAAUUAUUUGUGGUUUAAUAGUUUUGUAUGUUAUGCUAAGAUGUGGCUGUUGGAUGGGUACUAAGCUGUGUCCUACCAACUAGUGGAUAUUUCCAACUCACCACUUACAGUGGCCAGUGUGUCCCAAGAGUUCCGCAUGGCACUCUGGGGACAAAGGGGGGACUGUUAGGAAAAUUUUAACAUGAAACAGUUAUGUCAACUGAACCAGAGUUAGGCCAAUGCAGGAAUGCUCGGAAAGUUCCUGAAUGAGAUAGGUAGGAUGAAAGAAUGCUUGUUAAGUUGCAAGGAGUGAAUUAAGGAGGAGACCUGCAUUCCUGCAUUAUCGUACCAGAUGUUCUGAGAAUGAGAAGGAGACACACUGUCUCCGCUCCCUGUUUCUGUUUCAUGUAUGUUCUUAACUCCUCAUCUCCUGUUUGACAACUGGAUUGAUAAGAAAGUUGGGGAGGCAUAACGACUUACAAAAAGCUAUAUACAAUAGGGGAUAGGUAUGCAUGCAUGAUAAAGAACUUUUAACUAACAAAGGGGAGGGAGUUUGGGCUAUUUCAUGAAUAAUCUGUGACACGACGGACCUGUCUAUAAAAACCUAUUAGUUUUACCUAAGAGGUAGCUGGUUCUCUUUGGAGACGGGCUGCUCUCUAUUGUUGUGUGCACUCUUCAAUAAAGAGCUUAUACUUGGACUUUGCUGGUGUUGCCUGUCUCUCUGCGGUCAGACAACGAAUCGUGCCGUCUGGGGUUCGAGUCCCCGACAAUAAUGUGCAUAUAUACAUUAUAUUUUUAAUUGACUAUGUACACAUCAACUACACUACAUGUACUUUCGGGGUGUGGAUUAACUUGUCAGACCUGGGCUCAUCUGAUGUCACGGUUUCUCCUCACAGGGCCAGGACACCUUGUGACACUCCUCCGCAAACUAUUAGUUUUCUUUUUACAAUGCUUACAAGAAAUUAUUAAUGAGUCUUAAGGAGAUUUUUGAGACCCUCUUACAAAUUGUGGUGGAGGCAUUUCAAGCAUAAGUGGUAAUACAAAAAUGUUUGUAUGAGGUGUGGAUAAGUGGCAGUUGAAACUGGCAUUGGUGGUGGAGCAGAGAAGCAAUGCAAGAAGAGACAAGAAUGGAGAUUCAGGGAAGGGCAAAGCUACAAAGGGCCUUGGAAGUCGGGACAAAAAGCUUUAAGGGAAGGAACAUCAAAGUUUGAACACAGCUUGUCUGUGUCCAGGGAGAGGAAAGAGUGAAAGAUAGAUUUUAUGUUUUGACUUGAGUGAUUGGGAUGAUGGUGACUCAUUCAAAAGUGACAAAGAAUGAGAAGAGUGGACAUGGCUUCAGAAGAAAGGUCCCUUGCUUCAUUCAGUGCACAGGAUGGACUUACACUGGGGAUGAAUCAAGGUUGUGAGGGUGAAGAACAGCUAACAUGUAUACAACACUGCUGCAACUCCUUAUCUUGGUGCAGAUGCAUAUUGGCAAAGGUUUCUAGAUGUUUUAAGUCCCUUUCUGGCUUUACUAUUGCACAAACAGUAUUACAGAGCAGGUGCUCGCUGCAUGACCUGUGCAUAUCCACUUGCUGAGUAACACAUAAGUAACUUCUUUCAUGCCAAGAGUAAAUGAACACUCACUCUAUUGUAUCU
This is an RNA transcript of Chelonia mydas (Green sea turtle), 4937 nucleotides long. RefSeq lists it as uncharacterized. The record is from RefSeq and is a predicted model, not a curated record. The transcript is spliced from 5 exons. NCBI's taxonomy places the organism in Eukaryota, Metazoa, Chordata, Testudines, Cheloniidae.